RNAcentral lists this ribosomal RNA (1246 nucleotides) under 'Triticum aestivum' phytoplasma. RNAcentral's name for it is "bacterial SSU rRNA". It matches the Rfam family "Bacterial small subunit ribosomal RNA", at positions 154 to 1399 of the family's 1533-position model. The record is from RNAcentral. Lineage: Bacteria; Bacillati; Mycoplasmatota; Mollicutes; Acholeplasmatales; Acholeplasmataceae. RNAcentral also lists the same sequence under 1 other name.
AAACAGUUGCUAAGACUGGAUAGGAAAUUAGAAGGCAUCUUUUAAUUUUUAAAAGACCUUUUUCGAAAGGUAUACUUAAAGAGGGGCUUGCGGCACAUUAGUUAGUUGGUAGGGUAAAAGCCUACCAAGACCAUGAUGUGUAGCUGGACUGAGAGGUUGAACAGCCACAUUGGGACUGAGACACGGCCCAAACUCCUACGGGAGGCAGCAGUAGGGAAUUUUCGGCAAUGGAGGAAACUCUGACCGAGCAACGCCGCGUGAACGAUGAAGUAUUUCGGUAUGUAAAGUUCUUUUAUUGGAGAAGAAAAAAUAGUGGAAAAACUAUCUUGACGAUAUUCAAUGAAUAAGCCCCGGCAAACUAUGUGCCAGCAGCCGCGGUAAUACAUAGGGGGCGAGCGUUAUCCGGAAUUAUUGGGCGUAAAGGGUGCGUAGGCGGUUUGGUAAGUCUAUAGUUUAAUUUCAGUGCUUAACACUGUUCUGCUAUAGAAACUAUCAGACUAGAGUGAGAUAGAGGCAAGUGGAAUUCCAUGUGUAGCGGUAAAAUGCGUAAAUAUAUGGAGGAACACCAGAGGCGUAGGCGGCUUGCUGGGUCUUUACUGACGCUGAGGCACGAAAGCGUGGGGAGCAAACAGGAUUAGAUACCCUGGUAGUCCACGCCGUAAACGAUGAGUACUAAGUGUCGGGGAAACUCGGUACUGAAGUUAACACAUUAAGUACUCCGCCUGAGUAGUACGUACGCAAGUAUGAAACUUAAAGGAAUUGACGGGACUCCGCACAAGCGGUGGAUCAUGUUGUUUAAUUCGAAGAUACACGAAAAACCUUACCAGGUCUUGACAUACUCUGCAAAGCUAUAGCAAUAUAGUGGAGGUUAUCAGGGAUACAGGUGGUGCAUGGUUGUCGUCAGCUCGUGUCGUGAGAUGUUAGGUUAAGUCCUAAAACGAGCGCAACCCUUGUCACUAGUUGCCAGCAUGUUAUGAUGGGCACUUUAGUGAGACUGCCAAUGAAAAAUUGGAGGAAGGUGAGGAUCACGUCAAAUCAUCAUGCCCCUUAUGAUCUGGGCUACAAACGUGAUACAAUGGCUGUUACAAAGAGUAGCUAAAACGCGAGUUUAUAGCCAAUCUCAUAAAAGCAGUCUCAGUUCGGAUUGAAGUCUGCAACUCGACUUCAUGAAGUUGGAAUCGCUAGUAAUCGCGAAUCAGCAUGUCGCGGUGAAUACGUUCUCGGGGUUUGUACACACCGCCCGUCA